Sitodiplosis mosellana (orange wheat blossom midge) is the source of this 787-nucleotide long non-coding RNA. RefSeq lists it as uncharacterized. The record is from RefSeq and is a predicted model, not a curated record. NCBI's taxonomy places the organism in Eukaryota, Metazoa, Arthropoda, Insecta, Diptera, Cecidomyiidae. The transcript is spliced from 4 exons.
UUAUCGCGUCGCUAGCGCAGUUUACUGUCAGCUGUUGGUGCGAGAACAGCACUUCGUGCAAUAUAGUCAGUAGUUAUUGCAUGAGUUAUUGCUUAACUCAGUUCUUUACUCUGUAAAAUCGAGAGUUACCUGCGAGUGAUAGUGAAAAUGCCAAUCAAAAAAAGCUUUUUUCAACAGAGAGGAUUAAGAUAUUGCGGCAUCCUAAUUGGAUGGUUGGUCUUCAUCCUGAAUUUCAUCCUGUUGACACUUUUGUUGCACGUAAGUGCUCUUGGAUUUUACAAUGCUUCAGAUUUUCAAGUGUUCUUGUUACUUGUGGUAAACUUUUGGGCGAUUUGUUGCUUUCUAUAUGGCGUUAUCCUCUAUAAACCGGUUUGUGCGCUAAUUGGGCUGAUUUGGUAUGGAUUUCUAAUGUGCUGCCUCAUAUAUUCAAUAACUCCGCAUAUUGACAUUGCCAUUACAAUAUUCAUUGUACUUCUCCUCAUUGUUUACGUGUUUGCUGUCCUCAGUUACAAACACGUGAAAUUGGCCACGAAGCACAUUCGAAUCAAUGCAAAUAGUCCACUUUCGAAUCUGUCAUACGUUGUAGUUGAUAGGGUAGAGGUAAAUAGUCUACCCACUUAUGCACAAGCAAUCCGACCGACAUGAUGUUUACCAUGGUGUUUGCCUUGAUGGAGAGACCAAGCAUAUUUAUAGCUAGAAUUUGGAAGUAACAUCUUUUCUGUGUAAUUGUUUUGUGCAUGAAUUGUUGAAGAUUAAAGCGAAUUUCUUUACAUUUUUUCUACAUAAA